UGGGGAUGACGUCAAGUCCUCAUGGCCCUUAUGGGUAGGGCUUCACACGUCAUACAAUGGUCGGUACAGAGGGUUGCAACCCGCAGGGGGAGGCUAAUCCCACAAAGCCGAUCGUAGUCCGGAUCGCAGUCUGCAACUCGACUGCGUGAAGUCGGAAUCGCUAGUAAUCGUGGAUCAGCAUGUCACGGUGAAUACGUUCCCGGGUCUU
Molecule: ribosomal RNA, 208 nt
Filed under: uncultured Rhodocyclaceae bacterium
Lineage: Bacteria; Pseudomonadati; Pseudomonadota; Betaproteobacteria; Rhodocyclales; Rhodocyclaceae
Description: partial 16S ribosomal RNA
Rfam family: Bacterial small subunit ribosomal RNA
Source: RNAcentral